RNAcentral lists this ribosomal RNA (162 nucleotides) under uncultured bacterium. Its description in RNAcentral is "partial 16S ribosomal RNA". It matches the Rfam family "Bacterial small subunit ribosomal RNA", at positions 1339 to 1500 of the family's 1533-position model. The record is from RNAcentral.
UAAUCGCGGAUCAGCAUGCCGCGGUGAAUACGUUCCCGGGCCUUGUACACACCGCCCGUCACACCAUGGGAGUCGGUAACACCCGAAGCCUGUAGUCUGACCUUUUGGAGGACGCAGUCGAAGGUGGGAUCGAUGACUGGGGUGAAGUCGUAACAAGGUAGC